AGCGUAGACGGAGUGGCAAGUCUGAUGUGAAAACCCGGGGCUCAACCCCGGGACUGCAUUGGAAACUGUCAAUCUGGAGUACCGGAGAGGUAAGCGGAAUUCCUAGUGUAGCGGUGAAAUGCGUAGAUAUUAGGAGGAACACCAGUGGCGAAGGCGGCUUACUGGACGGUAACUGACGUUGAGGCUUGAAAGCGUGGGGAGCAAACA
RNAcentral lists this ribosomal RNA (207 nucleotides) under uncultured bacterium. Its description in RNAcentral is "partial 16S ribosomal RNA". It matches the Rfam family "Bacterial small subunit ribosomal RNA", at positions 568 to 774 of the family's 1533-position model. The record is from RNAcentral.